RNAcentral lists this ribosomal RNA (466 nucleotides) under uncultured soil bacterium. RNAcentral's name for it is "bacterial SSU rRNA". It matches the Rfam family "Bacterial small subunit ribosomal RNA", at positions 8 to 494 of the family's 1533-position model. The record is from RNAcentral.
AGAGUUUGAUCCUGGCUCAGGAUGAACGCUGGCGGCGUGCUUAACACAUGCAAGUCGAACGUAAACCUGCAGCAAUGUGGGUGAAAGUGGCAAACGGGUGAGGAACACGUAGAUAACCUGCCUCGCAGUGGGGGAUAACCACGGGAAACUGUGGCUAAUACCGCAUGUCUUGGCUGUCACGGGAGUGAUGGACAAGAAAGCUUUAGUGCUGUGAGAGGGGUCUGCGUCCGAUUAGCUAGUUGGCGAGGUAAAGGCUCACCAAGGCAUUGAUCGGUAGCUGGUCUGAGAGGACGAUCAGCCACACGGGAACUGCGACACGGUCCCAACUCCUACGGGGGGCAGCAGUGAGGAAUAUUGGGCAAUGGGCGCAAGCCUGACCCAGCAACGCCGCGUGAAGGACGACGGCCUUCGGGUUGUAAACUUCUUUUUGGGGGAAAAGAGAGGAUGUACCCCCAGAUCAUCCCGC